AACAAGACUUCAAACCAACUCACACCCUCAAAGCUCCGGAAGCCAUUCAGUGUUUCCAUCUUGGCCGAGUGAGUUCUUCACUGAAACUCAGUUUGAUCUCUGACGAGGUCCUCAAGGACAACUGAGAGAAGGCAGAAAGGUGUUAAAUGGUUUGCAGAAUUGUUGGGAAGGCUAAGCUUCCAGGAGCCGCUCCCAAAGUCUCCACACACAACUGGACCACCAGGGAACCUGCUCCCUCCACCAGGACAGGACUUGGAAACCUGCCACCACCAUUACCAACACCAGAAGGAUCUUGUCUCUGCUAAGCCUCUGUCCACAUAGUGAAUGCCCUGUGCCCUGCCUCUCUUCCUCUGAUUCAGGUCCCACUCCGGGUCUUGCCCAAGUCUUUCUGAUUGGUGGAACUUAAAUCACACCCAAAAUCCCAGCUGCAGGAGAGCUGAGAUUUCAUCUUUCCAACCUCUGUGUGCUGCAUGGGGGUUGGAGCACUUGCUGACAAGCCUUGCAACAACCAUUGACAGGAUGUCCUCCACCUUUUCAGUCUGAUUUGCUCUUUGCCAUGCAGACCUGUGGAUGAAAAGCCAGAGUCCUCCAAGGUGAAGCUGGACUGAAUAUUUCUGUCCAUAAGACUAUUAGAAUCCCCCAAAGUGGGAUACCAGUGAGGACUUCACCAGCAGCUGCUGUCUCUCCAAUGCAGAGCUUCCUGCCUCCUGCCCAGCCCCUGCUGUCAGAGAUACUUGGUGCCUCCAGUUCUGGAGACUUCCGU
RNAcentral lists this non-coding RNA (763 nucleotides) under Pongo abelii (Sumatran orangutan). Lineage: Eukaryota; Metazoa; Chordata; Mammalia; Primates; Hominidae. The record is from RNAcentral.